Peromyscus maniculatus bairdii (prairie deer mouse) is the source of this 682-nucleotide non-coding RNA. The record is from RefSeq and is a predicted model, not a curated record. Lineage: Eukaryota; Metazoa; Chordata; Mammalia; Rodentia; Cricetidae.
AUCUUGUGCUUCUACAAGGCGGAAUCCCACAGGAUCUCACCAGGCAGAACCCGAGAGCACACCUUGUACCAGUUCCCUGUGCUGGGUGAUGGGGUUAUUGUUGUGGCUAGUAUUGGUCCCAAGCUCACUAAAGAGAAAGAAUGAAACAGGAACAAGCUGAUCUGUUGACCAAGUGCUGCUGCCUAUUGUCUUCAACAAAUGGUGCUGGCAUAAUGGGAUGUCAACAUGUAGAAGACUGCAAAUAGAGGUUAUGUCCCAUGUAGAAAGCUUGUGGAUCCCAAUUCUCUGCCUCAAUUUGGAAGACUACAAGGAACUUAUUGUGAGGACUACUUCAUUCUCUGUUCAGUUACAUUCAGUUUCAACUUCUCACCAUGCCACUUCCUUACAUGCACCGCAGUCACAUGAACUGUCUGACAGAACUCAUGUUUCCAGGGACUCAACUGUGAAAAAGCCCAAAGAUCAUGCCCUUGACCUUUUUCCCUAACUAUCCAAUCACAUCAAGCCCAUGGACUCUACCUACUUCACUUCAUAAAGAUAUUGAGAAAUGAAUCAUGAAGUUUAUAAAAUGAGCGAUUUCCAAAUGGGGGACCAAAUUAAGUGCUCGCAUGGCAUCUCCAGAAAGGUAACAUAAUUUUAUGUGAAUUAUGGACCCAGUUAACAAUUUUUCAAGGUAAAUAUUUUA